GUUUGGGUUUCGCUUCCUCGGAGAAACUUUGUGCAGAUUAUCUCUCGUCCUUCGAGUUCCGAUUUUAUCAAGACGACGAAAACCUUCGUCGGUGAUUGGCUUGUACGAUUCGUACCGUUAUCACUUAUAACCAGCCGCUGCGAGAGAGCGUUUGUCAAAGCUCUUGCGCCUGUGCCGACAAUGAAUUGGGAAUAGGGUUUCGCCGUUUUCUGAGGGUUUCGCUUCCUCGGAGAAACUUUGUGCAGAUUCAACUAUUCUCCUUUUUGUUGGAGUAGUCUACUUGGGACCGGAGCUUCGACGCCAUCAGUAGCAUUGUUAGUUUGUACACACGUUGGCGGACGGAUCUCCUUCGGAGAAGGCACCAUCUAUUCCGGCGAAGAGGAAACAGAGAUAGAUCAAGUGAUAGAGCUCCGAGACCAUAAGGAGCUAAACCCCUGACACAUAGGGUGAGUUCUUGGACUAGGGGGGUGUAAUUUCCGUAGAGUUGUGUUGUUUUGGGUAUGUGAUGGUAAUGUAUAUAUAUGUAUAUUGAUAUUCUGGGUAUUGUAUUUUGGUUGUUAAGUUUAUACUAUCUUCCACUGUUAGGUUGUAUAAAUGAUAUGACUUUUUACCUAGUACCCAAUGUGGGUCGGAUCAUAUGAGUGGUAACAGGGUUAUUGACAUGGCCAAUUUGUGAAUAUUGUUGAUGAUGUGUAAAGAUUUAUUAUUGUAAAAAAAAUUGGUACGAAAA
Malania oleifera is the source of this 730-nucleotide long non-coding RNA. RefSeq lists it as uncharacterized. NCBI's taxonomy places the organism in Eukaryota, Viridiplantae, Streptophyta, Magnoliopsida, Santalales, Ximeniaceae. The transcript has 2 exons. The record is from RefSeq and is a predicted model, not a curated record.